RNAcentral lists this ribosomal RNA (498 nucleotides) under uncultured bacterium. RNAcentral's name for it is "partial 16S ribosomal RNA". It matches the Rfam family "Bacterial small subunit ribosomal RNA", at positions 29 to 523 of the family's 1533-position model. The record is from RNAcentral.
AUUGAACGCUGGCGGCAUGCUUUACACAUGCAAGUCGAACGGUAACAGGCCGCAAGGUGCUGACGAGUGGCGAACGGGUGAGUAAUGCAUCGGAACGUGCCCAGUCGUGGGGGAUAACGCAGCGAAAGCUGCGCUAAUACCGCAUACGAUCUCUGGAUGAAAGCGGGGGACCGAAAGGCCUCGCGCGAUUGGAGCGGCCGAUGUCAGAUUAGGUAGUUGGUGGGGUAAAGGCCCACCAAGCCAACGAUCUGUAGCUGGUCUGAGAGGACGACCAACAACACUGGGACUGAGACACGGCCAAGACUCCGACGGGAGGCAGCAGUGGGGAAUUUUGGACAAUGGGCGCAAGCCUGAUCCAGCAAUGCCGCGUGCAGGAAGAAGGCCUUCGGGUUGUAAACUGCUUUUGUACGGAGCGAAAAGGUCUCCUCUAAUACAGGGGGCUCAUGACGGUACCGUAAGAAUAAGCACCGGCUAACUACGUGCCAGCCGCCGCCGUAA